RNAcentral lists this ribosomal RNA (253 nucleotides) under uncultured bacterium. Its description in RNAcentral is "partial 16S ribosomal RNA". It matches the Rfam family "Bacterial small subunit ribosomal RNA", at positions 524 to 776 of the family's 1533-position model. The record is from RNAcentral.
UACGUAGGUGGCAAGCGUUGUCCGGAUUUAUUGGGCGUAAAGCGCGCGCAGGCGGUUCGUUUAGUCCGAGGUGAAAUCUCCCGGCUCAACUGGGAGGGUGCGGUGGAGACUGCCGGACUGGAGGCACUCAGAGGCCGGUGGAAUUCCCGGUGUAGUGGUGAAAUGCGUAGAGAUCGGGAGGAACACCAGUGGCGAAGGCGGCCGGCUGGGGGUGACCUGACGCUGAGGCGCGAAAGCGUGGGGAGCGAACCGG